Chrysemys picta bellii (western painted turtle) is the source of this 2194-nucleotide long non-coding RNA. The record is from Ensembl. NCBI's taxonomy places the organism in Eukaryota, Metazoa, Chordata, Testudines, Emydidae.
GAAUAUAUAUUUUUCUAAAGAAUUUUAAACCACAAAUGUCUUAAACUUGAGUAUUAGUCUUUACAGUUUAAUAUUAAAGAUCUACAUGGAUUAAAUGUAUCAUAUUUAAAUAUAUUAAAAUAUGAUUCUGCUCUGAAAUGUUGCAAAAAAUAUGGUGGUUCCUUAUGCCACAGAUUUGCUUCCUGUUUGUAAUUCAGAGAAAUCUGCUGAUUUUAGAUAAUGUUUACUGCUUUGUAUAUCUGCUAGUUAUAUUCAUUCUGUGGAGCUAGAGGGGAGGGAGCUGAAUUCUAUUCCUGCUUGCACACUAGCAGCAGAAUUAUGUACAACAUUGCAAUACACUUGUGAAAUUCCACUGAAGGCACUGGGAUUGCACAGAUAUUACUGAGGGCUUGCUUUGGCAGAAUCUUCUACUAGUGGUAACAUGAGAAGGAAAGAACCUAGUUUUAUUCUCAAAUCCUUCAGUGUGUUUGAGUGAACAAAGGGAACUAAUGUCAUACACAUUUUUCAUAGUAGAACUGCACUUGGAGCUGAAAUGUUCAUAGCAAUAUAAUGACAAAGGAACUCAUAAUGACUGAAACACCAACUGGCUGUUGGCUGACUGGUACAAGAACAGAUUUUAAAGAUCUUAGUAAUUAAGAGUAGGGAAAACUGCUUAUAGUGGAGGCAAUGGUAAUAUAAGAAUGGUUAGAGAUGAAAAUGAAUUUGUGAGGAGGUAAUUUCAAUUUUGGUCACAAGUUGUGUCCUACAAUAAUUCUACCUUUUAAAAGUUCAUAUGUUAGGGAAGGGAAGAAUUACUGUACUUUGAACAAUAUGGGGCCCACUACUAUGUAGGUAAUUGUUUUAUUUUGCUUAAAAUUCCACAGAUAUUUAAUUGACGAUAACUACGUUUUUUUUUCUAGGUUAAAAUUAAAAUGCUAAAAUGCAGAUGAAGAUCGGUUUAAAAAAAAAGUUCUGCUCUGUCUAAGAGUACAGAAGGUCAAGAUCCUGAAGCCUUUUUUUUUUUUUACUUUCAGGUUGGAAAAAGGCAGCAAUGAAGUCAACUUUAUCUUCACCCUGAGAAAUACUGUGCAGAGCAUUGAGCAACAAACAUACUGUUCUCCCAGUGUGAAGCAUGUCUGUCACUAUCAGCAUCCUCCACACAAAAAAAAACCAGUUUUUUUUUCAAAUAAAACAUUGGUGCUGAAUCAACAUUGAUUUAUAACUUUUGAUUUAUGAUGUGGGGACUAUAAGCAUGGAAAGUUCUGGUAGACCUCUAUUCAGAGUAUUGAUAACCGGGUUUUCAAGUUUGUAGACACUAUAACCCAAGGCAGGUUAAAUUUAUUAUAUGACUGAACUGCAUUUAUGGUGUUUCUCCAAGAUAGAGAAAUAACUGAGUUAAAUGACACCAUCAAUUCUUAUAAUCAGGAAAAGGAUGGGAGUUAAGUGUGGUAAAAUUAAUGGAAGUUGAAGCAAAAUCAGCAAACUUGACACCUGCUGAUAUACAAAGUCUGGUUGUUACAUGCUAUAUCUCAAAGUAGCACCCUGUAACUCCCAUAUUCAUCAUUUGUAUAUCGUGAUUUUUCAUAAAAAGCAUGCCAUGUAAGAUACCAUAUCUGCUGAAACUCAUUGUUCUGUCAAACUGUGUGCAUCACUAUGGUGUAUGAAGUUAUGAGAUUUUGCUGUAUGGUUGUGGUUGAAAUAUGUUGAGAGUUUGGGACUCGCCCACUGCUAGCUCUCCAGUGGCUGAGGGUGGUGACCCACACCCAAGGGGGUGUUAAAACUACAAUUGAUCAGAAUGGUAAACAAGAAAUCUACAAUUCAAUAAGACAGUUACAGAAGAACCACACAAUUAGGAUUGUUCAACUCUGACUCAGCAAGGCAUGCCUGGGCCAGUUUCUUUCCAGGGACAUGGACUAAGAGUAUAAAAUAAGGGACAAUGACAUCAUGAGAUGACCUCUCUCCUCCCCCACUUAUGCCAAAGGCAACAAGAAUCCUGGGAAGACAAAGACUGAGAAGGAAACUCAGACUGUAUUAAGAUCUGCAACCUACCUGCAACAUCCAGUGGGUUGAGAAAAGCAGAUUCAACUCUUGCUUAGGCUUUGUCUACGCUACCACUUUUGUUGGUCAGGGGUAUGAAAACAAACACACCCCUGGCUGACAUAGCUAAACAUGACUCAAUGGGGGUGGUUUAAUUAUGCCGGCAGGAAAGCUCUUG